CCUACGGGGGGCAGCAGUGAGGAAUAUUGGUCAAUGGGCGGGAGCCUGAACCAGCCAAGUCGCGUGAGGGACGACGGUCCUAUGGAUUGUAAACCUCUUUUGUCGGGGAACAAAGGCGUCCACGGGUGGGCGGAUGAGUGUACCCGAAGAAAAAGCAUCGGCUAACUCCGUGCCAGCAGCCGCGGUAAUACGGAGGAUGCGAGCGUUAUCCGGAUUUAUUGGGUUUAAAGGGUGCGUAGGCGGACAGUCAAGUCAGCGGUAAAAAUGCGGUGCUCAACGCCGUACAGCCGUUGAAACUGGCGUUCUUGAGUGAGCGAGAAGUAUGCGGAAUGCGUGGUGUAGCGGUGAAAUGCAUAGAUAUCACGCAGAACUCCGAUUGCGAAGGCGGCUUACUGGAUUAUAACUGACGCUGAGGCUCGAAAGCGUGGGUAGCAAACAGGAUUAGAUACCCGAGUAGUC
This 459-nucleotide ribosomal RNA is filed under the name uncultured bacterium. Its description in RNAcentral is "partial 16S ribosomal RNA". It matches the Rfam family "Bacterial small subunit ribosomal RNA", at positions 338 to 795 of the family's 1533-position model. The record is from RNAcentral.